Long non-coding RNA from Corapipo altera (White-ruffed manakin), 863 nucleotides. RefSeq lists it as uncharacterized. Lineage: Eukaryota; Metazoa; Chordata; Aves; Passeriformes; Pipridae. The record is from RefSeq and is a predicted model, not a curated record. The transcript is spliced from 2 exons.
GCCCCGGGGAGGGGCUCGCGGGGGCCGAGGUCGAAGGGCCACCGGUUCGAACCCCGAGAAAGCCGGGAACGCCACACCGAGGAAGUGGAGAAGAGGGAGCGGGUACAACGCCGCCAGUCUGUGCCUGCUUGACUCCGACUCUGCUUUAAAAAGCUUUUCUGCAACUACAGGCAAACAAUAAAAAAAUUCUCUUCACAACGCACUUUUUUAAAAGCCGAAGUGCGCCACUUGCGUUUCAAAUUGAAACGCGCCGUCACUCAGCAUCUCACAAACCGGCUGAGCAGCCACGCGCACAAAUGACGAGGAACAAGCGUUUCAGAGCCUGAGCAGAUUUUUACAGAAUCCCUUCUUGCACUCGAUAUGACUCAUUCAGCCGCCGGAGGAACUGCCACCAGUCAGAGGUGUGCGAAACUAAAGCUGAGCCAUCGCCAUGGUCAACGAAUCGCUCUCGUACUCUUCCAUCUCCAGAGCAGGAGCUCCCACGUGCAACUGCAAAAAGUCUGAAUGUCUGCCAAGAGCCAGAACGAUCCAGUCCCUCAGCACUGGACUACUGGGAAAAGCAAGAAACACACCUGUUCUCACCAUCCCAGCACUCCCCGAACACCAGCACAUCCUCACUCCCCUUGCCUUGCAGCAGCACUCAUUCCAAGUUUGCCAUUCCCAAGAUUCAAGCAAUUUAGGAGCACGUUUUGCCUGUUUUGAGUAACGUUAUCAAAAACUAACUGGUUUGGAACAGCUUGUGUAUUUGAAAGAGCCACUUCUCAGAAGCCAAACUAAGACUAUUCCAAUGCACUCUGAAGAACCUGGGAAUGCUGUUUGUGCAACAGGCAUUUAAUUUGCAGAAAUUAAUUACAAAACAGUAA